GAGUGUCAUUCCGAGACUCAUCUUCUUCGUAGAAAGAGAUGUAUUUUCUAGCCUCUAUUCUUGGUACGCCUUUGUGAAAGGGCCGGAUCAAAGCAUUCCUAAUAUGGUCUGCUAGACGUGGGCUUGAUUGCAUAGCCGAAGACUCCAGGUUUGCCUUUGUGAAAACAAGGGCUUCAUCCAGUACCUGUUCUCCAUGCACACUUAAAAAUGAAGCUUCAUACAAGCCCAGGAUGCCUUUGACAUCGUUGAUGAUUGUUUUCUUAAGCUCUCCAUUGGUGUCCUUGAACUUGUCGAACACAACUGAUUUAUAAAAGCAUACUACACAUUUUAGCCAUUUUCAAAAGAUGUUUGUGGAUUAUGAGAGAUUAGGAUCGUAAAGAAUUGAUAUAAUAUAAAGUGAAAGGAUAGAAUUAGAAUUCUCAUACCCUAAAAUUACAAUCCCAAACUUAUAAAAGUUAAGAAAAAUUUGAUAUACCUCAAUGGUCUUUUAAUUCAUAAUUUUAAUGAAAAAAAUAAAACAUCAACUAUUGAUAUAUAGGUAAAUACCUACUUAAAAAACAAUAAAAACACUAAGUAAGAAAAAUAAUUAAAAUCUAAAAUUAACUAUGAAAAUAAUUAAAAUUAUAUAUUGAAUAUAUAAACCAUGCCUUUUAGUGUUCCUUACUAGAUUUUUAAUACCUGCGCUUCACAUACAGCAGGUAAUCUUUGGAGACGUUGAUAUGAGUUUUUUAUUGUUCACAACAAAGCCUUUCCUAUCACUACAGUUCUCUUUCCCGCACCCCUAUAUUUCUUGGAGUUGUUCUUAAUUUGUUGUCACUCCAAAAAUAUUAGGUUGUUGAAUGUAACUGUGUGAUAAAGGUUUGUUUAUCUGGAAGGAAAGUUUUGGUUUUUGGAAGAGAGUGUUCCCCCCAUCUUUCGUUUUUCUUUAAUAAGGAAGAACUUUUUAUCUAAAACUUUUUUUUAUUUUUAUUUUUAUUUUUAAGCUCAUUCCAUUUUAUAAACCUCAAAAGAUAGAUUACAAAGAGAUGGAGAGCGAUAAAACCAACAAUCCUAUAUGAAACAAAUACAUAAGUAAUAUAAAAAUAAUAUAUAAAAUUUAGAAUAAAUAACUCACAACAAGAUUUAACUUUUUUUUAAAAAAUAGAAUUCAAACUCAACUUUUAAAUUCAGUAUAUACAUACAUACAUACAUACAUAUAUGAAGAAAAAAAAACACACAUCUAGUACAACAAUCACACACACUUAUAGUCUAUCUUAGAAAUUAUAAUGUUCACGAGUCACCGGCUCGUUUUAUUACAAUACAUUCGGCAACAUUCAUAGAGAGUUCCAGCAUGAGCUCAAGGUAAGAAUUCUACCCCAUUAUUCGCACAUAGGCACUUGCUCAACAUAUAAUAAAGUGACAUAAUCUUUUAAACUUAAUGGGAUUGUGUAGGCGUCGUCAUCAUCCCCAUAUACAACAUCAGUAACUCGAACAAGGUUAACAAUAUGUUGAAGAAGAAGCAUUGGAGCCUUAGUUGGCCUCAUGCAAUCUUCAUUGAUGUCCUUCCAUCCAUUUGCGACCAUCUUUUGUAUCUCUUCAAUUGCUUUUUUUUCUGAGACAUCAUAUUGUUUCAUGAAGCAUUCAACACCGGAUGCACAGUCUCCCCUCUUUUGUUCAUCCUUCAAACAAAUAUAGGAUGUUAUAUAAUGGUUAAAAAAGAAACUUAGCAUGACAAAUUCCAAACACAAAAAAAAAAAAAAAGACAGGAAUAGUCAUGAGUAGAGCCCUGGUUCAAUUUUGCUGAUGCAAAAAAAUAAUUGAAAAAUCAAGGAGAAACUAUUUAGUAUAUCAUAAGCUGAACUGGUUUACUUGAAGAUAGAAUUUGUGAAUACUUUUCAAUAUAAGUUCUACUAGAUUGGUGGCUUGCGCUAAGAUAUGGAUCAUAUUAAAAUUUUGAUAACAUACAAAAAAUAAUAUUUUGGUAUUGCUAAUGUUUUUUUAGUAAUUUUUUAAAAAUAAUGUACAUAAGUUUAUCUAAUGUGACAUGAUUAAUUUAAUGGGUUCAAAGACAACCCAGACAACUAGUAAAAAUAUAGUUUGACUCAAUAAAAUAUAAGAUAAUAAUUUUUUUAAAAAUUAGAAUAAUAACAUAUUGGAUCGAUCUUGACUAAUCUAGAUUAAAUUAUCAAAUUCACGACUCAGAUUAUAAAACUAUGAUAACCCUUGUAUAAAAUGAAUCAAAAUAAAUUAAAGAUAAUGUAAAUUAUUUAAAUGGUAAAUGAGAAAUUAAUUAUCACUAUAUCUAAUAAUUUAUUUAUUUUUUUGGGAUUUAAAAAUCAUACCUCAUGGCUCACUAUGUCAUUCAUUAAACGACAGAUCAUCUUUCCAGCUUUCAUAAUAUUUGGAUUACUUUUUAGCCAUUUAUACUCCUCCUGUCCGGCAACUUCAUCCAUUUCAACGAAGGAUGCUGCCAUAAUUACCCCAUAAGCACUUGUGGCUAAUCCAUUGCGCCUUCAUCUGCCCACUGCGCCUCCACUCGGUAGGCUCUCGCCAAUUCUUUGAACUAAUAGCAUACAAAUUAAAAGGAAUGUAUUAUGCUAGAAAUAGAAAAAGAAUGCAUGAGCCUGGAGAAAUAUUCUUACUGCCUCCUUCACGUAAUACAAGGCAUAGGAUCGUCCUUGCUUUCCCAUAUCACUCUCAGUUUCACUGAAAAGAUUCAGAAGAGCUCUGUAAAGAACUUUCAAGUACUCGGCAGGUAGUUGAUCGAUGGCAUCCAUGCAGCAUCUGAAAUUGAGACAGAAAAUCACGUAUCAUUUCUUGAACAUCUUUGUACGAUUUAGAAGAGAGAGGCUAUGAGGUAACUUAAAAAUCACAGUGGAUGUCCAUAUCCAGUGAACCCAACUGGGUUUGUGUAUCCCAACUAUGAACGCAUCUCAUCUCUCCCUCUGCUCAUCCUCCGUUCCUCUCUGGUUUUCACCCCUUCUUUCUUUGUGUUUUUGUUCUUCGUAAAAGGUAACCCGGUCUCCCCUCUUCCAUUCAUUCCACACACCCUUCAUGUGUUCGACUAAAUGACCAUUAGAGAAUCAAAACUUUUCUUUUUUUAUUUCUUCCUACCUGCCAACGUCCUACCCACAAACCGCUCAAACCUCUACCACCUUCUGUUAUUAUCCUGUAAUCUUAGACAUCACAACCUUUACAAAGGUUUAGAACCAUCUUUAAACUUCCAGCUCUUCUUCAUCUUCUUAUUUUUAAAGCCUACUAUCUAAAGCUCCUGACACCUUAACCUCUAGCAUUCAAAAGAACCACAAAUGGCUCUCUAAUCCUUUCCAAUACCAUCACACAACGACUCAUAACCCACAAAUGGCUCUCAUAUUCGACUUUUACUUUGAACGAUUACAUAGCUGGCCUAUAGAGAUUUGAAGAAGGAAUUUCAGAAACAUGGACAAGUAAUUGCCCUUUUUCUCUCCAGAAGAAAAACCGCAGAUUGGAGUAAUUAGUACCUACAACUAUUAUUGUAUCAUUUCUUUGUUUUGCUGGAUUUCCAUAGCCAUUAUUGUAUCCUUUCUUUGUUUUGCUGGAUUUCCAUCCACUAGAUGGCCAGCUUAAUAUAAUUCUUCGAUAUUCAUAUAAAAAGAAGAAGAAGAAAGGUUAUGAGGUAACAAGAAACAAACCUUUCAAUUGCAUUAGUAAAAUGUUGUAUUUCUUCGAAAGAUGCAUAUGCAUCACAUGUAUCAUCUAACAGUGAUACAAUUUUUGUAUAUUUCGUGACCACCAUCCGCGAGAAAGCAUAUUGAGGCUCGAAAUGGACUCCAUUUGCCCAGAAAUAGACCUCUACAAUUCUAUCUCUUGCAUAUGGAAACUCCACAGAAAAAUUUAAAUCAUUCCACCACCUAAAAUGUAAAUAGCAACUCAGUAAAGAAAUUCCGAUAGAAACUUAGUUUGACAUUUCUCUCUAACUUAAACAACAAAUUACCUCGAGAGAAUGGAUAGCUCUUGUUGAUGUAUUAACUGAACUCGAUUGAAAUCUAUCUUGGCAAACUUGAGUAGAGUGUCAUUCCGAGACUCAUCUUCUUCGUAGAAAGAGAUGUAUUUUCUAGCCUCUAUUCUUGGUACGCCUUUGUGAAAGGGCCGGAUCAAAGCGUUCCUAAUAUGGUCUGCUAGACGUGGGCUUGAUUGCAUAGCCAAAGACUCCAGGUUUGCCUUUGUGAAAACAAGGGCUUCAUCCAGUACCUGUUCUCCAUGCACACUUAAAAAUGAAGCUUCAUACAAGCCCAGGAUGCCUUUAACAUCGUUGAUGAUUGUUUCCUUAAACUCUCCUUUGGUGUCCUUGAACUUGUCGAAC
RNAcentral lists this long non-coding RNA (4321 nucleotides) under Populus trichocarpa (black cottonwood). Its description in RNAcentral is "long non-coding RNA (PTRI_LNC004463)". Lineage: Eukaryota; Viridiplantae; Streptophyta; Magnoliopsida; Malpighiales; Salicaceae. The record is from RNAcentral.